RNAcentral lists this ribosomal RNA (497 nucleotides) under uncultured bacterium. RNAcentral describes it as "partial 16S ribosomal RNA". It matches the Rfam family "Bacterial small subunit ribosomal RNA", at positions 28 to 507 of the family's 1533-position model. The record is from RNAcentral.
GAUGAACGCUGGCGGCGUGCCUAAUACAUGCGAGUCGAGCGAACGGACGAGAAGCUUGCUUCUCUGAUGUUAGCGGCGGACGGGUGAGUAACACGUGGAUAACCUACCUAUAAGACUGGGAUAACUUCGGGAAACCGGAGCUAAUACCGGAUAAUAUUUUGAACCGCAUGGUUCAAAAGUAAAAGACGGUCUUGCUGUCACUUAUAGAUGGAUCCGCGCUGCAUUAGCUAGUUGGUAAGGUAACGGCUUACCAAGGCAACGAUGCAUAGCCGACCUGAGAGGGUGAUCGGCCACACUGGAACUGAAACACGGUCCAGACUCCUACGGGAGGCAGCAGUAGGGAAUCUUCCGCAAUGGGCGAAAGCCUGACGGAGCAACGCCGCGUGAGUGAUGAAGGUCUUCGGAUCGUAAAACUCUGUUAUUAGGGAAGAACAUAUGUGUAAGUAACUGUGCACAUCUUGACGGUACCUAAUCAGAAAGCCACGGCUAACUACGUG